RNAcentral lists this long non-coding RNA (1542 nucleotides) under Junco hyemalis (dark-eyed junco). RNAcentral's name for it is "lncRNA (ENSJHYG00000001850.1)". The record is from RNAcentral. Lineage: Eukaryota; Metazoa; Chordata; Aves; Passeriformes; Passerellidae.
CUCUGGGGACAGCCUUGGGGACACUGGGGACCCCCUUUGGGACACCGGGAUCCCCUUGGGGACCCCCUUAGGGACACCGUGACCCCCUUAGGAACCCCUUGGAGACAUUGGGGACUCUCUGGGGACCCCCUUGGGGACACCGGGGACACCCUUAGGAACAUCAAGACCCCUUGUGGGCACCCUUGGGGACAUCGAGGACCCCUUUAGGGACACUGGGACCCCUUGGGGACAUUAGGGACCCCCUUAGGAACACCGGGAUCCCUUGGGGACAUUGGGGCCCCAUUGGAGACACCCUUGGGGACACUCUUAGGGACAGCGGGACCCCUUGGGGACCCCCCUGGAUACACCGGGACCCCCUUGGGGACUUUGGGGACCCUCUUAGGAACCCCAGGACACACUUAGGGACAUCAUGACCCCCUGGGGACCCCUUGGGGACAUUGGGAACCCAUUGGAGACACCCUUGGGGACCCCCCUGGGUACACCGGAACUCCCUUGGGGACAUCAGGGACCCCUUGGGGACAUUGGAGACCCUCGGGAGACACCCUUAGAGACACGAGAACCCCUUGGGGACACUGGUGACCCCCUGGGGACACCGGGGCCCCGUGGGUGACACUCACGCGCGGCAGCGGCAGCGCCCGUGUCCGCGCCAGCGCGCGCAGGAGGCGGGACCCGCCCAGCAGCGCCUGGAGCCCCGCCCCCCCCGCCGAGAGCCCCGCCCCCAGCACGGGCAGCCACGGCCAGGGCCAGGCGACAGCGGCCAGCACGGGGACACCGCCCAGGGUGGCACCGAACCUGCGGGGACACGACAGGGACAUGGGGACAGCACGGGGACACCGCUCAGGGUGGCACCGAACCUAAAGGGGACAUGAGAGGGACAUGGGGACAGUGGCCGGGGAUAUGGGGACAGCAUGGGGACAGCGCCCAGGGUGGCACCGAACCUAAAGGGGACACGACAGGGACAUGGGGACAGCAUGGGGACACCGCUCAGGGUGGCACCGAACCUAAAGGGGACACGAGAGGGACAUGGGGACAGCACGGGGACACCGCCCAGGGUGGCAUUGAACCUAAAAAGGAUACGAGAGGGACAUGGGGACAGCAUGGGGACACCGCCCAGGGUGACACCGAACCUAAAGGGGACAUGAGAGGGACAUGGGGACAGCAUAGGGACACUGCCCAGGGACACCGGGACAGCACGAGGACACAGCCCAGGGUGGCACUGAACCUGUGGGGACACAGGGACAGCAUGGGGACAAUGCCCAGGGUGACACCGAACAUAAAGAGGACACAGGGACAGAAUGGGGACACCGCCCGGGGUGACACUGUGAACCCCACUAGGGACACCCUUGGGGACAUCAGGGACCCCCUUGGGGACAUCAGGGACCCUGUGACCCCCCUGGUGGCACAGGUGACAGCGCUGUCCCCGCUCUCACUUGUCCCGCAGCAGCUGUCCCUCCACGCUGGCCCCCAGCAGCAGCGCCGCGCUCAGGUCUGCCUGUCAAGGAAAGCACAAAAACCCCAAAAACACCCCAAAAUCCCACCCAA